GGGGAUGCACUGGUUUCGACGGGGGUGUGGAAACCGGGUAAGCGAGCCGCAGUUUGUCCGGUCUGCGUUAAAAAGGACACGUUAAAUAUAAACGCUAAAAAGAACAAUAAUUUCGCACCUAUGGCUAUAGCUGCGUAAGCAGUUAUAAGCUGUGCGUGCCGGCUUCCGUUCACCUGCAGACGGGAAAUCCGGCAUCGACCAUGCAGGAAAACUUCAUGUGAAUUCCCGGCAGCAUGAGGGAACAACGGGAUAGCCGACGAUGAAGCCUGCUUCCGGGCGUCAUCGGAAGCGAAACACUAAAACAGAAGCUGCGCUCGGAGAAAACCCAGCGAAAAUGCUUUCGGACAUGGGUUCGAUUCCCAUCAUCUCCACCA
Molecule: transfer-messenger RNA, 374 nt
Filed under: human gut metagenome
Rfam family: transfer-messenger RNA
About the family: Bacterial tmRNA, also known as 10Sa RNA or SsrA, is named for its dual tRNA and mRNA-like properties. Its role is to liberate the mRNA from a stalled ribosome.
Source: RNAcentral